GUAGGGUGCGAGCGUUAAUCGGAAUUACUGGGCGUAAAGCGUGCGCAGGUGGUUUUGUAAGUCAGAUGUGAAAUCCCCGGGCUUAACCUGGGAACUGCGUUUGAAACUGCAAGGCUAGAGUGUGGCAGAGGGGGGUGGAAUUCCGCGUGUAGCAGUGAAAUGCGUAGAGAUGUGGAGGAACACCGAUGGCGAAGGCAGCCCCCUGGGUCAACACUGACGCUCAGGCACGAAAGCAUGGGGAGCAAACAGGAUUAGAUACCCUGGUAGUCCAUGCCCUAAACGAUGUCAACUAGUUGUCGGGUCUUAACGGGCUUGGUAACGUAGCUAACGCGUGAAGUUGACCGCCUGGGGAGUACGAUCGCAAGAUUA
This 369-nucleotide ribosomal RNA is filed under the name uncultured organism. Its description in RNAcentral is "partial 16S ribosomal RNA". It matches the Rfam family "Bacterial small subunit ribosomal RNA", at positions 527 to 896 of the family's 1533-position model. The record is from RNAcentral.